RNAcentral lists this transfer RNA (74 nucleotides) under Clostridia bacterium. RNAcentral's name for it is "tRNA-Trp". It matches the Rfam family "tRNA". Rfam says of the family: Transfer RNA (tRNA) molecules are approximately 80 nucleotides in length. Their secondary structure includes four short double-helical elements and three loops (D, anti-codon, and T loops). The record is from RNAcentral. Lineage: Bacteria; Bacillati; Bacillota; Clostridia.
AGGGCAAUGGUGUAAUGGUAACACGUGGGUCUCCAAAACCUUUGUUGAGGGUUCGAGUCCUUCUUGCCCUGCCA